Molecule: ribosomal RNA, 506 nt
Filed under: uncultured bacterium
Lineage: Bacteria
Description: partial 16S ribosomal RNA
Rfam family: Bacterial small subunit ribosomal RNA
Source: RNAcentral
GAUGAACGCUAGCUACAGGCUUAACACAUGCAAGUCGAGGGGUAACGAGAGGAAAGCUUGCUUUCCUUGUCGACGACCGGCGCACGGGUGAGUAACGCGUAUCCAACCUGCCCCCAACUAGGGAAUAACCUUGCGAAAGUAAGACUAAUACCCUAUAAUUUCCUCAGAUGUCAUCUGACGAGGAAUAAAGAUUUAUCGGUUGUGGAUGGGGAUGCGUGUGAUUAGCUUGUUGGCGGGGUAACGGCCCACCAAGGCAACGAUCAGUAGGGGUUCUGAGAGGAAGGUCCCCCACAUUGGAACUGAGACACGGUCCAAACUCCUACGGGAGGCAGCAGUGAGGAAUAUUGGUCAAUGGGCGGAAGCCUGAACCAGCCAAGUAGCGUGCAGAAUGACGGCCCUAUGGGUUGUAAACUGCUUUUAUACAGGAAUAAAGUUAGCCACGUGUGGUUAUUUGUAGGUACUGUAUGAAUAAGGACCGGCUAAUUCCGUGCCAGCAGCCGCCGUAA